ACUACAUAACAAAGGAAACUAUGUGCCAUUCAGGAGGGUCUGUGUAUUAAAUCAAGUGUAAGAAUGUUUAAACAUGUAUCCCGUGUUCACUUGGUUCCCAAACUGUGCAUUUUAGUUAGAUGUUAUUAAGUUAUAUCAUUUUUAUUUGUACUACA
Spea bombifrons (plains spadefoot toad) is the source of this 155-nucleotide long non-coding RNA. RefSeq lists it as uncharacterized. NCBI's taxonomy places the organism in Eukaryota, Metazoa, Chordata, Amphibia, Anura, Pelobatidae. The record is from RefSeq and is a predicted model, not a curated record. The transcript is spliced from 2 exons.